GUGGAAUUCUGGCUCCCGGUGCAAGUCUCUUUCCAUCUUUGAGGCCCACUGUGCUGUUUCCCGCGGUGGCUCUACCAUUGAGGUUCCCGCCCAGAGCACAGGGCUCCACGCCCUGCCCAAGCUGGCAGCCCUUGUUUUCUGUGGUUGGUUCCUCCCCCUCCUGCCUGCCUUUCUUCCUCUCUUGCUGUACUGGGGCUGAGCCCAGGGCCUUGUGCCUUCUAGGACAAGAGCUCUGCCUCUGAGCCACCUGCCCAGCCGUUUCUGAUUUACUGAGACAGGGCCUCGCUAAGUUGCUGAGGCUGGUCAUGAACUUGUGAUCCUCCUGCCUCAGGCUCCUGGGUAGCUGGGAAGACCAGCGUGGCCCCCGUGCUAGCUGGUGCUUGUCCUCUGGUAGGAGGCGUCCUGGUGGGUGAGGGGUGGUGUGUUCUCCACGGGCGCAGGGCCUUGCUCUAGUUAGAGGUGCUUCUUGUGGUCAUCUUCUCCCACUCUGUGUGGCCUUCUCCCUCUGUGGAGAGUGGCUUCCCAUGCCCAAAGGGUUCAAUUUUCAUGAAGUCCAAUUUGUCCUCGUGGUUUUUGAGCUCAUACGUGGGGACUUUGAUCGAAUGUUAAUUUUGCAUAUGUGCCGGCUGAGGGUGGCUGCACUCCUGUGCGUGUGGACGUGCAGUUUUCCCAGCACCGUUUCUGGAGGGGGCUGUGCUUUCCCGUGGAAUGGUGUCGGCACCGUUGUUGGAAAUCAUUUGACCACAUGGAGUGAAAGGGUUAAUGUGGGGAAUGUUCUGAGGCCUGUGUUGUCAGGCGAUUCCUUGUUUGCAGAACCACAGGGCUUACCUGCAUACACCCAGGUGCAGUCCCCUACACACCUGGGCCUGGUGAUAGCGCCUCCUCCUCCUCCUAGGCCACGCCUGUGCGCAGGUCACUGUACUGAAUGGCGGAGGCAGUUGUGCUCAAUGUUGAGUUCAAUGUGACCAGGUGAUAGGAGCAUUUUAGGUUCAUGUAUAUGUGGUGGAGCGUCAUUAUAUGUCCACACUUGUCACAUGACUGUCCAGAAAGAUUUAUUUCCAGGAAUCUCAUUUGUUGUGUUUGUCUUUCCUCCUGCCAGUACCACACGGAUUUGAUUACUUCAGCUGUGUACAGAUGGUCCCAAAAAAUGGUUUGAGAAACCAUUUUUCCCUUUAUGGCUGUCCAGUAACUAUAGGCAUUCCGUAAAAUCUGUGCCUCAAAUUUUGAAUUUAAUCUUUUUUUUUCCUUGUGAUGCUGGGGAUCCAUCCCAAGACCUCAUGCAAGCUGGGCAAGUGCUCUCUGACUGAACCAAAGCCCCAGCCCUGAAUGUUAAUCUGUUGAUAUGCAAGUAUCAAUCCAUG
RNAcentral lists this long non-coding RNA (1361 nucleotides) under Marmota monax (woodchuck). The record is from RNAcentral. Lineage: Eukaryota; Metazoa; Chordata; Mammalia; Rodentia; Sciuridae.